This 505-nucleotide ribosomal RNA is filed under the name Munidopsis polymorpha. RNAcentral describes it as "partial large subunit ribosomal RNA". It matches the Rfam family "Bacterial large subunit ribosomal RNA", at positions 1831 to 2589 of the family's 2925-position model. Lineage: Eukaryota; Metazoa; Arthropoda; Malacostraca; Decapoda; Munidopsidae. The record is from RNAcentral.
GUCUGUAUGAAGUUAUAUAGAGUCUAACCUGCCCAUUGAAAUUUUUUAAAAGGCCGCGGUAUUUUAACUGUGCAAAGGUAGCAUAAUAAUUAGUUUUUUAAUUGAAAACUUGAAUGAAAGGUUGGACAAAGAAAAAUCUGUCUUUAGUGUUUAUUUUGAACUUUACAUUUAAGUGAAAAGGCUUAAAUAUAUUUAAGGGACGAUAAGACCCUAUAAAUCUUUACAUUUAUUUAUUUUUUAUUAAUUUAGAUUAAAAUUAAUUUUAAUGUAAAAUAUUUGUUUUAUUGGGGUGAUAUAAAUAUAAAUUAAAAACUGUUUAAAAUUUAAACAAAUAUAAUUGAUUUAAUUAAAGAUCCUUUUUAGAGAUUUCAAGUUUAAGUUACUUUAGGGAUAACAGCGUAAUUUUUUUUAAGAGUUCUUAUCGAAAAAAAAGUUUGCGACCUCGAUGUUGAAUUAAAAUUUCUUCUUAAUGCAGAAGUUAAGAGAGAAAGUCUGUUCGACUUUU